UGGGGAAUAUUGCACAAUGGGCGAAAGCCUGAUGCAGCGACGCCGCGUGAGCGAAGAAGUAUUUCGGUAUGUAAAGCUCUAUCAGCAGGGAAGAAAAUGACGGUACCUGACUAAGAAGCCCCGGCUAACUACGUGCC
RNAcentral lists this ribosomal RNA (137 nucleotides) under uncultured bacterium. RNAcentral's name for it is "partial 16S ribosomal RNA". It matches the Rfam family "Bacterial small subunit ribosomal RNA", at positions 355 to 509 of the family's 1533-position model. The record is from RNAcentral.